Molecule: ribosomal RNA, 504 nt
Filed under: uncultured Flavobacterium sp.
Lineage: Bacteria; Pseudomonadati; Bacteroidota; Flavobacteriia; Flavobacteriales; Flavobacteriaceae
Description: partial 16S ribosomal RNA
Source: RNAcentral
CACGGAGUUAGCCGGUCCUUAUUCUUACGGUACCGUCAGUCCGCCUCACGAGGCGGGGUUUCUUCCCGUAUAAAAGCAGUUUUACACACCAUAGAUGCUUCAUCCUGCACGCGGCAUGGCUGGUUCAGGCUUGCGCCCAUUGACCAAUAUUCCUCACUGCUGCCUCCCGUAGGAGUCUGGUCCGUGUCUCAGUACCAGUGUGGGGGAUCUCCCUCUCAGGACCCCUACCCAUCGUAGCCUUGGUAAGCCGUUACCUUACCAACUAGCUAAUGGGACGCAUGCUCAUCUUUUACCGGUUGUGACUUUAAUAUAUAAAUGAUGCCAUUCACAUAUACCAUGGGUAUUAAUCCAAAUUUCUCUGGGCUAUCCCCCGUCGUAAAACGGUAGAUUGCAUACGCGUUACGCACCCGUGCGCCGGUCUCAAGCUAGCAAGCUAACUCUACCCCUCGACUUGCAUGUGUUAAGCCUGCGCUAGCGUUCAUCCUGAGCCAGGAUCAAACUACU